This is a long non-coding RNA of Anopheles cruzii, 899 nucleotides long. RefSeq lists it as uncharacterized. The record is from RefSeq and is a predicted model, not a curated record. NCBI's taxonomy places the organism in Eukaryota, Metazoa, Arthropoda, Insecta, Diptera, Culicidae. The transcript has 3 exons.
GUGUUAUGAGUUAAACUAAUCGUUUCAACAAUUAUAGUUAUGUGCACCGAUUGAUGUCUUGUUCUAUUUUAGCUUCGUACUUGGCCCAUCGACAAAUGGUAAAAACGCCGUCAAGCGUACCCGGCCAAUCCUCGGUGCCGCCAGAUACGUACACAGCGACUGUACCCGACGGCAUGAAUGAAUGGUGUAUUGCCAUUCAUUUGGUUUUGGAACGAGCAUUUGGUGUGCGGCGAUAUGUUUUGAAUCAGUUCAAACAUUAUAAAGGUUAGACGAGUGCUGGAUGACUUGGAAGUGAAUGACGACGAUGUGCGCACCAACUGCCAGGGAAUGGUUGAUGAUCCGGUGACAUUUUCAACAAAUUUUGGAAUUUUUAUGAAGUCGUCAAAUUACUUAUGUUACCACGGUUUAAUAGUUCGGGACCGGGUUAAACCAACCGUGGGAACCACUGCUCAGAACGGAGUCCGCCUCACCGUAUCGCCGUCGUCCGUAUGGCCUAAUGUCGCGCACUGCUAAGUACCCCAGCCAAGCAACUGGACAAAGAGAACACAAGCUUGUCAUGGUGGGACUGGACAACGCCGACAAGACGACCAUUCUGUACCAGUUUCUGAUGAACGAGGUGGUUCACACGAGCGAUCGGAUUGAACGUGGAAGAGGUACGCACGCAGUUUACCAGAUAACCAGUGGCCACUUCGUAAGCCGCUCACCGGUGACGGGUGUCCAUUUACCUCGUUUCUCAUUCAUUCGCCGUGCCGCGUAUUUUCGUAACGUGCACCACGCAGCUGUCAAAAGUUCAUAGUCACAACUGGUUGUUUGUUCUUUUAAUGCGCCUCGCAGAUCGUGUGGAAAAAUAUCCACUUUUUGGUGUUUGUAACCAAUAGAUUGUAAUGCAAUGCGUGCGU